UGGAUCACCUCCUAACAGGGAGAACCAACCUCAAAUGAUGAUCACCACUUUUUAGUGAUCCAUUUGACUGUUCAUUCCUAAGGUCGAUCGGUACCUCAGUGAGUGAUAAUCACUCAUCUCGGUCCUUAAGCUUGUCUAGGUCACCACCCCUUAGCUGAUAAGCUUUGUGGGAUGGGCCCGAGAGGGUUCCUGGGCCAUUAGCUCAGGUGGUUAGAGCGCACCCCUGAUAAGGGUGAGGUCCCUGGUUCAAGUCCAGGAUGGCCCAUCGGGAUUGGGGGUUUAGCUCAGCUGGUAGAGCGCCUGCUUUGCAAGCAGGAUGUCAGCGGUUCGAGUCCGCUAACCUCCAUUAGUCUUGAUAAUGGAACUGUGGCGCAGGGUGACUUAGAAGGAUGUUGGUGAUUCCAGCCUCGUUUGAUUCUUGUUUCAAAGUUCAAACGAUGCUGGGCUCAGCAAUGGGUUCAGCAAGAACCUUGACAACUGCAUAGGUAAGUCUGGAAAUAAAGCAUCUCACAGAGAUGAUCCAGGCAUGAUGUGAUUCACGUUACGGCGUGAUUUGCUUCAUGUUUGGUUCAACAAUUCUGGAGAAAAGCCGAGUCCUGAAUCAAUUUGAUCAGGAACAAAAUGGUCAAGCUACAAAGGGCUCACGGCGGAUACCUUGGCACACAGAGGCGAUGAAGG
RNAcentral lists this transfer RNA (678 nucleotides) under uncultured Synechococcus sp. RNAcentral's name for it is "partial contains 16S ribosomal RNA, 16S-23S ribosomal RNA intergenic spacer, and 23S ribosomal RNA". The stretch from base 274 to 346 matches the Rfam family "tRNA". Lineage: Bacteria; Bacillati; Cyanobacteriota; Cyanophyceae; Synechococcales; Synechococcaceae. The record is from RNAcentral.